GCCCACCCGUGCCCCAAUCGCACUGAUCCCGCUCCGCGUGUCCGUGACGUCAUAACGAAGCGCCCGCUCUCUCAGCCAUGGCCGCCGCAGCAGCAGGGUCCAGCUCUGAGCAUCCAGAGGGAUUCAGGAAGACACCGGGAAGAAGGAAGUGGAUUCGAGGGACCUAGCACCGUAAUUAGCCCAAUUUUGGUUAAUUAAGGCUACCAAGGCCUCGGCCCCUUGUCUCCCAGGGCUGAAAUUCCAUGGGAAUGCCAUGACUGAGACACGGAGCUCCAUCCUGGCAGGAGUUACUCGCUGACACCACUGCCCAGGCUCCCUCCAUGGUGCUGCAGAGGGAUCAGGAGGCCCCCAGGAAGGAAGAAGUGGGUGCAAGGCUGUUGUCACUGUAAUUAAUUCUGGUUAAUGAGCCAGCAGGAGGUGUGUGCUGGGUAUCACCUCAGCUCAGCCCACCCUUCCCAGGCUGUGCCAUUAUCCCACAGGGAUGUAUCCAGAGGCUGGAGCAGCGGGGCUGAUUCCCUGUGGAAGAACCAGGAGGAUUCAGCGACACCAGAGUCAGGGAAUUAAACAUGAACCCGUGGUUUUAACGUG
This is a long non-coding RNA of Serinus canaria (Common canary), 588 nucleotides long. RefSeq lists it as uncharacterized. Lineage: Eukaryota; Metazoa; Chordata; Aves; Passeriformes; Fringillidae. The record is from RefSeq and is a predicted model, not a curated record. The transcript has 3 exons.